This 434-nucleotide ribosomal RNA is filed under the name uncultured bacterium. RNAcentral describes it as "partial 16S ribosomal RNA". It matches the Rfam family "Bacterial small subunit ribosomal RNA", at positions 29 to 507 of the family's 1533-position model. The record is from RNAcentral.
AGCGAACGCUGGCGGCAGGCCUAACACAUGCAAGUCGAACGAACCUUUCGGGGUUAGUGGCGGACGGGUGAGUAACACGUGGGAACGUGCCUUUAGGUUCGGAAUAACUCAGGGAAACUUGUGCUAAUACCGAAUGUGCCCUUCGGGGGAAAGAUUUAUCGCGUUUAGAGCGGCCCGCGUCUGUUUAGCUAGUUGGUUGAGGUAAUGGCUCACCAAGGCGACGAUCAGUAGCUGGUCUGAGAGGAUGAUCAGCCACAUUGGGACUGAGACACGGCCCAAACUGCUACGGGAGGCAGCAGUGGGGAAUCUUGCGCAAUGGGCGAAAGCCUGACGCAGCCAUGCCGCGUGAAUGAUGAAGGUCUUAGGAUUGUAAAAUUCUUUCACCGGAGACGAUAAUGACGGUACCCGGAGAAGAAGCCCCGGCUAACUUCGUG